AAAAAAAAAAAAAAAAAAAAACACAACAAAACAAAAGAUAGUUCAAAUAUUCAGUUUUAAUCACAGGAAACAUUAUAGAUUUUAGAUAACCACAAACCAUAGAAUUUAGUAUUAGACAAGAAAGGACACAUGCUAAAAAAAUUGUGCAUUGUGUGGUGGCAAAUUAGCAUACUACACUACCUAUAAAAUACACACUUGCACAAAAUAAGCAAUCCAUUAUGGUAAUUAUACACAGGAAACUUAUUCAGACAAGGUUGUUUGCAGUCAUCUUAGUUUCUGAAUUUGGCACGACAAAAUCUGAAAAUGUGGAAAGAAUCUCAGCAAUCAACCCCACUGAGUCACAGCAUUCUCUUCACCUAAUUGAACACUGCUAAAAUUUAAUUAAGAUUUCCCCAACAGAGUGUUAUUUAUAGUCAAAGUGCUCCAAAUAUGCUUAGACUGAAAAGGUACCAAAAUAUAGAUGGCCUUUUGAACCGAAGCAUCAUAUAUUCUACACAUGUAAAUAUGUAGAAAUAUUUAUUUUUACUACACUUAAUGAUAUUUACAUCACUUAAUAUCAUUUAACCCAAAAGACCCUGUGACAAGUACUGUCAUACAGUUUUCUUUAGCAGUCUGAGAUUGAAUAGUCCAGUCUUGCUGUGUUCAUAAACCCUCAUUAGUUGCUUAUUCAAUGAUCAUCUUAUUUGCUUAACCUACUUUACCAAAAUCUACCACAGAUUUUGGUGAGCAUUUUAGUUAUCGCUAAUGAUGCGACACCAGAGAAAAUCCCCAGUCAUGGUUUUCUGCCUGCGUUUUAGCCAGGCAGGCAGGCAGGCAGGCCUCUGUAAAAUUCCACAAGCAGCCCUGAACGCACUGAAACUAGGUCAGCACUGUUAUUGCAGAGAGAGAAAGAGAGGAGGAGGGAGAGCAAUGGAGAGAGAAAGAGAGAGAGAGAGAGAGAGAGAGAGAGAGAGAGAGAGGGGGGAAGAAAGCAAGAUCCAGGCCUGGAGACAGGAACAGCCACAAACACACACUUACACAUGCACAGAAACACACGCACACUGACACUCACACACAGGCAGUCAACAAGCUGCAUGCACAAGCACACACACUCUCCUCUCAACACGCAAAUACAUUUGCAGGCGUGUAAGCACAUAUGAACCGGUCUGUCCAUAAACAAGUGGCUUGACAGCUAGCGUUACCCAGCAUACCACAAAUGCAGCUGCUGAGAGUGUGCAAAGGAUGUAUACCAGAAGACCUGUAUAAUAAUAGAUGUUACGUAAGAGUACAUUUAGACAGGAAGAGUUGUGCAAUUGUUGUGGCUGUGGCCGCUAAGGCAAGGCCUAAGAAUGACACAGUUUGGCGUUUGCAUAGUAAUGGACAAACACAUCUGCCACCCCCUCAUUUUCUCUGUACGUCUGUCCCUAUUUAUCUCUCCCUCUCACCCUCCUUUUCUCUUCGCAUAUGACGCACACACUGCCUCUCAACAAACAGUCCCUGGCGCAAGAGGCUGGCCAAGCGUGACAGGGCCUUUGCCUCCCCCCUCUGACUGCCCCUCUACUUAAACAUGCGACCAACUGAAAGAGUUAGAGCUGAAGAAUUAAGGUGAUGCAUUUUGCACACCUCAGAACAUUAUGUCAAGUAUAUGCUAUUAACAAAUCGACUUUAUCCUACAAGUAGGAAAUUAAAAACUAGCGUCAGAAACGCGUCAUCAGCCGAAACGUUAAAUGCAUGCUAGUCUUGCAGAUGAAGAUUUUCAAUUUAAGCUCUUGAGAUAACUUGUUUUAUAAUGCCGGUUGGGAAUCGAGAAGAGUCUCGGAAGAAGCCGGGUAUUGGGCUAAAGGUCUUGCGUUUAACUGUGUCACUGAAACAGACCAUGCACUGAAUGGCAGUGGAAAAGGGUAAUGAGUGAAGGCCGCCUGUUUCCGUGUGGCCGUGACGGGGCCCAUCAGGGUGAGGCGGACUGUGAAAAGGGGGCAGUCGCUAGAUACUGAACUCUGCACAACCCCCUGCCAAAAACAUGGUGGAGCCAGCCAGAGGAGAGAUGAGGGGUAGGGAAAGAAGCGAAAAGGAGGAGUGGGCUGUUUUGGAAGCAGUUGGGAGAUGGAGCCGGAUGGUCCGAGGUUGGGUUCAUGGUGGCUGAAAUGUUUCCCUGCUCACUGCUGAUCAAAGACCGUCUUUAACAUGACAUAUGGAUCAGCAGACACUAAUGAGAGGGCAGUGGCCAGCUGAAUCUCCACAGUAACAAAAGAGGCUGGGACAUCUGGAGUCAGCCACACACAGACUCCUGGUGAGUUUUGGGGGAGCUGCCGAACGUCCGCCUGUAAUGGGAGGACUGGAUAACAAAUAUGGCAGUGGGCAGAUGAAUGAAAUGUCAAGUUAACCCUCUGACGUUUCAUGGUUUUGUUAUCAGUCUGAGGACAAAUAAUCAGUGUUUACAAUACAAUAUCAGAUUUGCAAUACAAGGUAGUAGAAAAAAAUGUCAUACUAUUUGCAAACCUACUUGUCACAUUUAAAAACAAAAUAUUGAAAGAAAAGGUAACAAAACAAGAAAAACCCUUUCUCUAUGCCUGGCUUUUACAUUUUCCUAUGCCCCUCAUUUAAUAAUAAAUGCAUAGCGCAGAGGAAGUAGAAUCGAAAAAAAUGUAUAUAUAAUAUUGCUGCAUUUUAUGUAUAUAUUUUUACAUACAUAUAUCGCUCUUGGUACUGCCAUGUAUAAUUGCAUUUUGUAUUUGACUUUGAGAGUAAAGAAUUUUUUACUAAUUUAAUUUUGAUAUCUGUUAAUUGUUUGAAACAAUUGCUGUUCUGUCGCCUUUUUAUUUUUGUAUCUCUCUGAUUGAAUAGCAUCAAUAAAAAGAGUUAAACAAAAAAACUGCACAAUGCUAUUGGUAUGACUAUUGGUCUGCAAUUGCAAAUUUUAAUGCAAUAUUUUUUUCUUUAUUACCUAUUUUUGUUGCAAUUUCCUUUAUUUUAAAAUAUAUUUUUAAUUAUUCGAUAUUUAAUUAUCACUUGGUUUGUCCAUGCUGUUAAUAUAUGAUAUUAAUUACUGUUUCUUGCAUUGUCUUGAUGUUGCUUAAAAUGCUCUGAUUGUAAGUUCAUCCCUGUUUUAUAUUUACAUGACAUGUACCUAAAAUGUUCUUAUAUUGUAAUAAAUGAUUUGCUCUAUAUAGCUCCAGUCUGACAUAUUUGUAACAGCUUACAUGAAGAUAAAUAAAUCCAUAUGAAUGAUUGGCA
Puntigrus tetrazona (Sumatra barb) is the source of this 3213-nucleotide long non-coding RNA. RefSeq lists it as uncharacterized. The record is from RefSeq and is a predicted model, not a curated record. The transcript has 2 exons. Lineage: Eukaryota; Metazoa; Chordata; Actinopteri; Cypriniformes; Cyprinidae.